This 464-nucleotide ribosomal RNA is filed under the name Cypraea tigris. Its description in RNAcentral is "partial 16S large subunit ribosomal RNA". It matches the Rfam family "Bacterial large subunit ribosomal RNA", at positions 1850 to 2577 of the family's 2925-position model. Lineage: Eukaryota; Metazoa; Mollusca; Gastropoda; Littorinimorpha; Cypraeidae. The record is from RNAcentral.
GAGUCGGACCUGCCCAGUGAUUGAUUUUUCAACGGCCGCGGUACUCUGACCGUGCAAAGGUAGCAUAAUCAUUUGCCCUAUAAUUGAGGGCUAGUAUGAAUGGUUUGACGUGAGCAAGACUGUCUCUAUGUGGUUUGCUAAAACUUGAUUUUUAGGUGAAGAAACCUAGAUUUCAUUGAUAGACAAGAAGACCCUAUUGAGCUUUAAAAAAAUAGAUUGAGAAUAAUAUAUAGCUUUAAAUAUUAAUCUACCUAAAAUUUUGGUUGGGGCGACUGUGGAACAAACAAAGCUUCUUUAUACCUAAAAGACUCACAGGUUUUGAUCCAGAAAUUUUGAUUAAUGAAAUUAGUUACCAUAGGGAUAACAGCAUAAUUCUCUUCAAGAGUUCUUAUCGAAAAGAGAGUUUGUGACCUCGAUGUUGGACUAGAAUAUCCUGAAGAUGCAGCAGUCUUCAAUGGUUGGUC